CGGCCAAGCUCCCCGGGCCGGGCAGCCGUCAGCACGUCACGUCACUGCCCGUGGGAGACCCAGGGAAAUGCGGAAGGAGUUCCCGGCUCCGCUGCUGCUUGAGCCGCCUGCUCUUCGGCCCCGGGCCAGGCCAGACCGGGCGCGCGACCGAGAAGGAACCGGGACGGGCCGAGUGGAUGAAGUAGAAGGGCGGUGGGUCCCCGCCAACCCCUUCCGCUGCAGCUGCCGCUUCUGCCGCCGUCUCCGUUCCAACUCGGCCGUAAAAUUCCGCUCCGGGCUCAGACUUGCUCAACUCGGCGCCGGGGAAUGAGGAGUUGUUUAGGCCUGGAAAAUCCCCAACAUUUUGGGGUGGCUUCUCCACAGGCAUUGCCCUGGGCACCCCCGCCUCCCAAAUCGUAAUACAUCCCCCUCGCUUGCCGAAAAUAAAUUUAUCCACAGCCUUUUGGAAAAUGAAAAUAAGAGAUCACAAUUCAUCUGAAAUGAAAUAAAAACCACUCUACAUCCUCCCAUGUCAGAUUACCUGAAAAGGACUAUAAUUGCCAUGGAGGUCAUGAAUUCACAAGUUUCGUCAGACUUUCUUCCCAGGAUAUUUUGGGAGUUCCAGUCCCAAUCCUGAGAUGACAAUCAAGAGCUUGUAGAGUCACUGCCAUGCAGAUACUGUCAAGAGAUUUGAUUUUCAAUACAAUGUGGACAUCUGUGCAACAGCUUCCUCACUAAAAAUGCAUUCCAACUGUAUGG
This is a non-coding RNA of Thamnophis sirtalis, 738 nucleotides long. Lineage: Eukaryota; Metazoa; Chordata; Lepidosauria; Squamata; Natricidae. The record is from RefSeq and is a predicted model, not a curated record.